RNAcentral lists this ribosomal RNA (300 nucleotides) under uncultured bacterium. RNAcentral's name for it is "bacterial SSU rRNA". It matches the Rfam family "Bacterial small subunit ribosomal RNA", at positions 1082 to 1382 of the family's 1533-position model. The record is from RNAcentral.
AAGUCCCGCAACGAGCGCAACCCUUAUCCUUUGUUGCCAGCGAUUCGGUCGGGAACUCAAAGGAGACUGCCGGUGAUAAACCGGAGGAAGGUGGGGAUGACGUCAAGUCAUCAUGGCCCUUACGAGUAGGGCUACACACGUGCUACAAUGGCGCAUACAAAGAGAAGCGACCUCGCGAGAGCAAGCGGACCUCAUAAAGUGCGUCGUAGUCCGGAUCGGAGUCUGCAACUCGACUCCGUGAAGUCGGAACCGCUAGUAAUCGUGGAUCAGAAUGCCACGGUGAAUACGUUCCCGGGCCUU